This 184-nucleotide ribosomal RNA is filed under the name Escherichia coli. Its description in RNAcentral is "partial 16S ribosomal RNA". It matches the Rfam family "Bacterial small subunit ribosomal RNA", at positions 1 to 178 of the family's 1533-position model. Lineage: Bacteria; Pseudomonadati; Pseudomonadota; Gammaproteobacteria; Enterobacterales; Enterobacteriaceae. The record is from RNAcentral.
AAAUUGAAGAGUUUGAUCAUGGCUCAGAUUGAACGCUGGCGGCAGGCCUAACACAUGCAAGUCGAACGGUAACAGAAAGCAGCUUGCUGCUUUGCUGACGAGUGGCGGACGGGUGAGUAAUGUCUGGGAAACUGCCUGAUGGAGGGGGAUAACUACUGGAAACGGUAGCUAAUACCGCAUAACG